CGUCGUCGUCGUCGUCGCUGCCGAACCUGCUCUUCCUGCACGGCUCUUACCACGGCG
This 57-nucleotide non-coding RNA is filed under the name uncultured Chlorophyceae. Lineage: Eukaryota; Viridiplantae; Chlorophyta; Chlorophyceae. The record is from RNAcentral.